UUCAUUGUCCUGUUAAACAAAAGGAAUGGCUGAUGCAAAAUUCUGUGGCCAGGCGUCUCUCCCUGGCACAACAUUAACACCGCAGACACUGACUCGGCACUCGCUGUGGGGUAACACUGCUUGAGCGAGCAGCGCACACACGCCAGCCAUGCUACCUCGGUCGUAGACAAAGCCUGAUGAAAGGAUCCUGGAGGUGACUGAAGGGAUAAGUGCAUUCUGCAAACUGCAGCUUGUGGCAGGUCUCCACCAAGAAUAGGCAGCAGCUUUCCAGUUCUUGGACCGUAAAGCUCUGCUGUGGCUUGCCAGGCACUGGGAAAUAAAAGACAAUUGUCCUGCAGAUGCUCAGUGGUCUUCUGUAAAUUGUGUAUAUAUGAACAUUGGCAUGCACACAGAUUCAGAAAAAGGACUAUGUAAUGUCAGCUGCAGGAGAUCAGCACCACAGACAGAGACACACUUCACCUCAGGACCCUGGAGAGCGCCUGGCUGGGACUCAGUGGAUGAUGAAGCUUUUUACUUACUGUUUAAAGCGGACAUAAGAUGCAUUCGUGGUCACUCACAAGUCACACUAAGUAUGUAAUUAACGGGUGUGUGAAAAAUAAGGUCAAGAGGACUGUUUUACACCAUGUUGCCCUACAAAGCCAUAGGUCAAUUUCCUGAAGAAACUAAUACAUGUAAGGUGAAUGUUA
Micropterus salmoides (largemouth bass) is the source of this 686-nucleotide long non-coding RNA. RefSeq lists it as uncharacterized. The record is from RefSeq and is a predicted model, not a curated record. The transcript has 4 exons. Lineage: Eukaryota; Metazoa; Chordata; Actinopteri; Centrarchiformes; Centrarchidae.